This 2037-nucleotide ribosomal RNA is filed under the name Bacillus thuringiensis serovar sotto str. T04001. RNAcentral's name for it is "bacterial LSU rRNA". It matches the Rfam family "Bacterial large subunit ribosomal RNA", at positions 226 to 2266 of the family's 2925-position model. Lineage: Bacteria; Bacillati; Bacillota; Bacilli; Caryophanales; Bacillaceae. The record is from RNAcentral.
CAAAUGCGAUUUCCUGAGUAGCGGCGAGCGAAACGGAACAUAGCCCAAACCAAGAGGCUUGCCUCUUGGGGUUGUAGGACAUUCUAUACGGAGUUACAAAGGAACGAGGUAGACGAAGCGACCUGGAAAGGUCCGUCGUAGAGGGUAACAACCCCGUAGUCGAAACUUCGUUCUCUCUUGAAUGUAUCCUGAGUACGGCGGAACACGUGAAAUUCCGUCGGAAUCUGGGAGGACCAUCUCCCAAGGCUAAAUACUCCCUAGUGAUCGAUAGUGAACCAGUACCGUGAGGGAAAGGUGAAAAGCACCCCGGAAGGGGAGUGAAAGAGAUCCUGAAACCGUGUGCCUACAAAUAGUCAGAGCCCGUUAAUGGGUGAUGGCGUGCCUUUUGUAGAAUGAACCGGCGAGUUACGAUCCCGUGCAAGGUUAAGCUGAAGAGGCGGAGCCGCAGCGAAAGCGAGUCUGAAUAGGGCGUUUAGUACGUGGUCGUAGACCCGAAACCAGGUGAUCUACCCAUGUCCAGGGUGAAGUUCAGGUAACACUGAAUGGAGGCCCGAACCCACGCACGUUGAAAAGUGCGGGGAUGAGGUGUGGGUAGCGGAGAAAUUCCAAUCGAACCUGGAGAUAGCUGGUUCUCCCCGAAAUAGCUUUAGGGCUAGCCUUAAGUGUAAGAGUCUUGGAGGUAGAGCACUGAUUGAACUAGGGGUCCUCAUCGGAUUACCGAAUUCAGUCAAACUCCGAAUGCCAAUGACUUAUCCUUAGGAGUCAGACUGCGAGUGAUAAGAUCCGUAGUCAAGAGGGAAACAGCCCAGAUCGCCAGCUAAGGUCCCAAAGUGUGUAUUAAGUGGAAAAGGAUGUGGAGUUGCUUAGACAACUAGGAUGUUGGCUUAGAAGCAGCCACCAUUUAAAGAGUGCGUAAUAGCUCACUAGUCGAGUGACUCUGCGCCGAAAAUGUACCGGGGCUAAAUACACCACCGAAGCUGCGAAUUGAUACCAAUGGUAUCAGUGGUAGGGGAGCGUUCUAAGUGCAGUGAAGUCAGACCGGAAGGACUGGUGGAGCGCUUAGAAGUGAGAAUGCCGGUAUGAGUAGCGAAAGACGGGUGAGAAUCCCGUCCACCGAAUGCCUAAGGUUUCCUGAGGAAGGCUCGUCCGCUCAGGGUUAGUCAGGACCUAAGCCGAGGCCGACAGGCGUAGGCGAUGGACAACAGGUUGAUAUUCCUGUACCACCUCUUUAUCGUUUGAGCAAUGGAGGGACGCAGAAGGAUAGAAGAAGCGUGCGAUUGGUUGUGCACGUCCAAGCAGUUAGGCUGAUAAGUAGGCAAAUCCGCUUAUCGUAAAGGCUGAGCUGUGAUGGGGAAGCUCCUUAUGGAGCGAAGUCUUUGAUUCCCCGCUGCCAAGAAAAGCUUCUAGCGAGAUAAAAGGUGCCUGUACCGCAAACCGACACAGGUAGGCGAGGAGAGAAUCCUAAGGUGUGCGAGAGAACUCUGGUUAAGGAACUCGGCAAAAUGACCCCGUAACUUCGGGAGAAGGGGUGCUUUCUUAACGGAAAGCCGCAGUGAAUAGGCCCAAGCGACUGUUUAGCAAAAACACAGCUCUCUGCGAAGCCGUAAGGCGAAGUAUAGGGGGUGACACCUGCCCGGUGCUGGAAGGUUAAGGAGAGGGGUUAGCGUAAGCGAAGCUCUGAACUGAAGCCCCAGUAAACGGCGGCCGUAACUAUAACGGUCCUAAGGUAGCGAAAUUCCUUGUCGGGUAAGUUCCGACCCGCACGAAAGGUGUAACGAUUUGGGCACUGUCUCAACCAGAGACUCGGUGAAAUUAUAGUACCUGUGAAGAUGCAGGUUACCCGCGACAGGACGGAAAGACCCCGUGGAGCUUUACUGUAGCCUGAUAUUGAAUUUUGGUACAGUUUGUACAGGAUAGGCGGGAGCCAUUGAAACCGGAGCGCUAGCUUCGGUGGAGGCGCUGGUGGGAUACCGCCCUGACUGUAUUGAAAUUCUAACCUACGGGUCUUAUCGACCCGGGAGACAGUGUCAGGUGGGC